Molecule: long non-coding RNA, 2973 nt
Organism: Symphalangus syndactylus (siamang)
Lineage: Eukaryota; Metazoa; Chordata; Mammalia; Primates; Hylobatidae
Source: RefSeq, a predicted model, not a curated record
CGGCCCCACCGGCCGCGAGAGCCGCAGAACUUGGGAGGGAGACAGUGGGGAGAGAGACGUGUGUGCGGGGGACAGGACCACCGUGUGUGCGUGUCGUAGGGGUGGGCUGGAUGGCUGGCUGGCCGGCCGGGCCCGCCUGCCUCCCAAGUAGCUGGGACUACGGGGAUCUCUUAAGCCCGGGAGGCAGAGGCUAACAUGGGCUGUGAUCGCGCACCUCCACUCCAGCUUACGUGAGGAUCACCCCAGCCUCCACGCUUUGGACCGACCAAGAGGUCGUCCUGCCUCUGAUCCCUCCCAUCCCCAUUACCUGGGACUACAGGCACGCACCACCACACUGGUUGACUUUUAUGUUGUUUCUCGUGUUUUCCGUAUGUAGAUAGGCUCCAGCGAUCCUCCCACGUCGGCCUCCCAGAGUGCUGUGAUGACACGCUUGGGCACGACGGGGUAACACUCUUGUCGCCCAGGGUGGAGUACAAUGGCCCGAUCUCGGCUCACCGAAACCUCCGCCUCCCAGCUGGGCUGUCCUACUUGUGUUGCUCAGUUGCCCACGCUGGUCUCAAACUCCUGGCCUUGACGCUUCUCCCGUCACCUCCACCGUCUGGUUGUUGAAAUGAGCAUCUCUUGUAAAAUGGAAAAGAUGAAAAAAACAAAGAGGAAGGCAAGAAGCGCGGAGUGAACGUUUCUCUCGCCGUCUCCCAGGGUGUACCUUGGACCCGAUAAGACGGAGGGAGCUUGGCUGAGUGGGUUCUCGGUGUUAAAUCCUCCCGAGGGCCUCCUUCCCUCUCCCCGCUGUCCCCGCUUCUCCCCCCGCCAAGGCUCCCACCGCCGCCGUGGCAUUUUCCGUAAGAGAGGCAUGGGAGAGGACUGACGCGGCUUCCAGAUCUGUAUCCUGCCACACGUCUCUGCCUCGGCUUCCCCCACCGGCUACCUGCCGCCUUCCGGGGAGCUCUGAGGCGGAUGCCCGCCCCACGAUCGCGUCCCGCUACCCUCCCCCGGCUGGCCUUUGCCGGGCGACCCCAGGGGAACCGUGUUGACGCUGCUUUCGAAUCCUCCGGUGAAGACUUCCACCAGAUGCCCCGGGUGGGCCGGAUGGGAUGAGACUGGACCACCCCGGACCGUGCUGUUCUUGGGGGAGGGUUGACGUACAGGGUGAACUGGCAGCCCCAGCAUUGUAAAGGGGGCCCGGGUAUGGAAAUGGCACAUAGGAUGCCCUCCUUCCAGUCAGCCUGCCUGCAGCUUCCUCAGGCAUGAAGACAACUUCCCAUCAGCACCUGUUUUCUUCCCUUUCUCCCCCCCACACAGGAGACGCAUGAGAGGGAGAAACAGCCCCAUAGAUACUGUUGACCUUCAUUUGUGGAAUCCUCAGUCAUCUACAGACAGGGACCCAAAUCAAACACCAUUUCUGGGUCCUUAUGGUGGGAUUGGUCUCUCUCUCUCUUUCUCUCUCCCUCACACACACACACACACACACAAUUUCCACAUCUAGUUCACAAACCACACUCACUUAUCCUUUUCACGGUACGCAGGCUGAGUAAAACCCACCCCACACUCCACCCGUCGGCUGAUGAAACCCCUUCUCUACAGUUGAUUAAAACGACUAUCUGCGCCGGGCACGGUGGCUCACGCCUGUCAUUCCAGCACUUUGGGAGGCCAAGGCGGGUGGAUCACUUGUGGCCAGGAGUUCAAGACCAGGCUGGCCAACGUGGCGAAACACCAUCUCUAUGAAAACUAGAACAAUUAGCCAGGACUGGUGGCAUAGGCUUGGAACCACAACUACUCAGGAGACUGGGGCGGGCGAGUUGCUUGAACCGGGGAGGCCAAGGUUGCGGUGAGCUGACAUCGUGCCACGGCCAUCCAGCCUGGGUAACAGUGCGAGACUCUGUCUCAAUAAAAUCAUGAUAUUAUUAGAAGAUGAGUUGUGCGUGGUGAUGCCCGCCUGUACUCGCAGCUACACGGGAGGCUGAGAUAAGCAGAAGAUCACUUGAGGCCCCACAGGUCGAGGCUUCAGUCAGCCGUGACCCACUGUAUCCUGGGCAGUCACCGGUCAAGGAGAUAUGCCCCCUCCCCGUUUUCUUUUCUUUUCUUCCCUUUUCUUCUCUUUCUUUCUUUCUUUCUUUCUUUCUUUCUUUCUUUCUUUCUUUCUUUCUUUCUUUCUCUCUCUUUUCUUUUCUUCUUUCCUUCUUUCUUCUUUCUUUCCUGCCUGACUGCCUUCCUGCCUUUCUUCCUUCCUCCCUUCCUCCUUCGCUCCCUUCCUUCUUUCUUCCCACCUCGGCCUCCCAAAGUGCUGGGAUGACUGGCGUGAGGCACCAUGCCUGCUGGGCCUAAAGACACACCCUUUGAAAGUAACACACAGAGAGCGCCUUCCAGUGAUCUGAUUGACUGAUUCAGAGACGGCAUCUCACUCUGUCACCCUGGCAGUGGUGCCAUCGUAACUCACUCACUGCAGCGUGGACCCUCCUGGGCUCAAGCGAUCCUUCCACCUCAGCCUCCAGAGUACAGUACCUGAGACCGCAGGCACGUGCCACUGUGCCCAGAUCAUUUUUAAUUUUUUUUUUUCUUUUCCCGAGACAGAGUUUUGCUCUUGUUGCCCAGACUGCAGUGCAAUGGCGUGAUCUCGGCUCACCGCAACCUCUGCCUCCCGGGUUCAAGUGAUCCUCCUGCGUCAGCUUCCCGAGUAGCUGGGAUUGCAGGCAUGCGACACCACGUCUGGCUCAUUUUGUAUUUUUAGUAGAGACGGGGCUUCUCCAUGUUGGUCAGGCUGGUCUCGAACUCCCGACCUCAGGUGAUCCGCCCUCCCCGGCCUCCUGAAGUGCUGGGAUGGCAGGCGUGAGCCGCCGCGCCCGGCCUUCAAUUUUUAAUGUGUUUCCACAGACAGGGUCUCAUCAUUUUGUUGCAACCCUCCUGAUCCGGCGACUCAAAGUGCUGGCGUUACGGGCGUGAGCCACUGCGCCUGGACUCCGGGGAAUGAUUCAU